RNAcentral lists this ribosomal RNA (535 nucleotides) under Clostridium sp. 34. RNAcentral describes it as "bacterial SSU rRNA". It matches the Rfam family "Bacterial small subunit ribosomal RNA", at positions 822 to 1359 of the family's 1533-position model. Lineage: Bacteria; Bacillati; Bacillota; Clostridia; Eubacteriales; Clostridiaceae. The record is from RNAcentral.
GUGUGGGGGUUACCCACCUCGUGCCGCCGCAAGGCAUUAAUACUCUUCCUCGGGGGACGCUCGCAAGAGGAAAAUAAAAGAGAAGAAAUGGGGAGGGGCACAAGUAGCGGAGGGACUGGUUGAUUUAGUAGCAACGAGAAGAACAUCCCUUACCUUGGAUAUCCUUCUCCCGAAUUAUUAGUAACAUUUUAACCCUCGGGGACCGAAGUGACAGGUGGUGCAUGGUUGUCGUCAGCUCGUGUCGUGAGAUGUUGGGUUAAGUCCCGCAACGAGCGCAACCCUUGCCCUUAGUUGCUAGCAUUAAGUUGGGCACUCUAGAGAGACUGCCAGGGUUAACUGGGAGGAAGGUGGGGAUGACGUCAAAUCAUCAUGCCCCUUAUGUCUAGGGCUACACACGUGCUACAAUGGGUGGUACAGUGGGCAGCCAUGUCGUGAGGCGGAGCUAAUCCUAUAAACCCAAUCCUCAGUUCGGAUUGUAGGCUGAAACUCGCCUACAUGAAGCCGGAGUUUCUGGUAAUCGCAUAUCAGCAAUACG